RNAcentral lists this long non-coding RNA (709 nucleotides) under Fukomys damarensis (Damara mole-rat). RNAcentral describes it as "lncRNA (ENSFDAG00000032393.1)". Lineage: Eukaryota; Metazoa; Chordata; Mammalia; Rodentia; Bathyergidae. The record is from RNAcentral.
GGCUCUAGCACCCAGGGCUGCUGCGGUUGGGCUGGGGUACCAGUAGGACUAAGACAGGUGGAAGAGUAGAACUGAAUGGUGUUGUAUGUCCUGAAAAAUGUCACCUGUUUGGAGCCUUCCAGAGCCUGCGUGGUCUUGUUAUAAAUGACGAUUCAGUAACCAGUGAUAGUUUUUUUAACUGUAAGUUUACCACAUAUAUUAAAUUCUUUGAUUUGCACAAAUACCCUAGGCCUUGGGUAUUCCCAAACAUUCCCAUUGUGUAUAAGGAAACUGAAGCUCAGAGUGAUUUAUAUGACCAGUCUAAGACUUCAGCCCAAAUCUUUUGACCCUAAGCAUCUCAUCACUCCUUACACCUUGUUGCCUCCCAAAUCUUGUAUGUCUAGAUAAACCUGCCUCAUGAACACCCUUUCUACAUGAAACAGCACCAGAAUCGAGGAGCAACUCAAUACCACCCCAUCCCAAAAUUCCCUGACAUUGAAAACACCAGCCUAAGGUCCUGCGACACUGGGCCUGGUGGGAGGAGUACCUGGGGACCCUCUGAACGUCUUGUGGAAGCCCUGAGGAAACCAUUCGGAGGUCUAGGCAUACCGUCAAGGAGCCUCACAGCUCAACUUGGAGAAAGCCAAGAACUGCUUCUAUUCCAGCCUUAUUGAGAAAUGACCAUGGCGUGCAGUAAGUGUUUUGGCACAGAGGACAAGAAGGAGAAGCC